GCAAAAAGCUAGCCUAAACACACCCCAUAAAUAACCAACCAUAAAUAAUACACAAACAACAACUAAAACAUUUUUCCUCCUAAGUAUAGGUGAUAGAAAAGGACCCCCCAGAGCUAUAGAAAAAGUACCGCAAGGGAAAGCUGAAAAAGAAGUGAAAUAAAUUUAUAAAGCAACAAAAAGCAGAGACUAAGACUCGUACCUUUUGCAUCAUGAUUUAGCAAGCACCCGCCCAAGCAAGAAGAACUCACAGUUUGAAGCCCCGAAACUAGACGAGCUACUCCGGAGCAGUACUAAAGAACCAACCCGUCUCUGUGGCAAAAGAGUGGGAAGACCCCCGAGUAGAAGUGAAAAGCCUAACGAGCCUAGUUAUAGCUGGUUGCUUAAGAAAUGAAUAUUAGUUCAGCCCCGCACACUCCUUCAAUCAAUAUAACCCUUAUUAAAGAACUAGAGUAAGAUGCCGGAGUUAGUCAAAGGGGGUACAGCUCCUUUGAAAAAGAACACAACCUUAUUGAGAGGGUAAGGAUCAUAAAACACCCAAGGACAUAGUCCCCCAGUGGGCCCAAAAGCAGCCACCUGAAAAGAAAGCGUUAUAGCUCAAGGAAAACCCUGACCAAUAAUAAUGAUAACAAAAUCCAAACCCCUCACAAAAUAUUAAGCCACUCUAUGCUUACAUAGAAGAGACAAUGCUAAAAUGAGUAAUAAGAGAAUGUAAUUCUCUCCCGGCAUGAGUGUAUAUCAGAACGGAAAAACCACUGAUAAUUAACGAACCCAAAUCCAGAGGGAAAAGCAAUUAAACCAACUAAACAAGAAAACCCUGCAUGAGAACAACCGUUAACCCCACACAGGAGUGCCAGCUAAGGAAAGACUAAAAGGAGAAGAAGGAACUCGGCAAACACCAACCCCGCCUGUUUACCAAAAACAUCGCCUCUUGCUAAAAAGAAUGUAUUAGAGGUCCCGCCUGCCCAGUGACCACAGAGUUAAACGGCCGCGGUAUUAUAACCGUGCAAAGGUAGCGUAAUCAUUUGUCUUUUAAAUGAAGACCUGUAUGAAUGGCAUCACGAGGGUUUAACUGUCUCCUCCCCCCAGUCAAUGAAAUUGAUCUACCCGUGCAGAAGCGGAUAUGAAAACAUAAGACGAGAAGACCCUAUGGAGCUUUAGGCUGAAGAUCCAAACACGUAAAGAAAUUUUUUAUAACAAAAGAAAUAAAACAAGUUUAAACCCAGUGCCCACAUGAUCAUAUGCCUUCGGUUGGGGCGACCACGGGGAAAAACAAAGCCCCCGUACGGAAUGAGAACUUCCCCUCCAAACUAAGAGAUACACCUCUAAGUAACAGAAAAUCUGACCAAACAUGACCCGGAGCAAACAAAUCCGAUCAAUGAACCAAGUUACCCUAGGGAUAACAGCGCAAUCCCUUCCCAGAGUCCCUAUCGACGAAGGGGUUUACGACCUCGAUGUUGGAUCAGGAUAUCCUAAUGGUGAAGCCGCUAUUAAGGGUUCGUUUGUUCAACGAUUAAUAAUCCUACGUGAUCUGAGUUCAGACCGGAGCAAUCCAGGUCGGUUUCUAUCUAUGACCUUACUUUUCCCUAGUACGAAAGGACCGGGAAAAGGGGGCCCAUAUUUAAAGCAAGCCCCACCUCAACCCCCUGACAACAAAUAAAAUGGAUAAUGAGAUAAACACUUUCCCCCCCACAAUUAAAGACCAUAAUGU
Molecule: ribosomal RNA, 1708 nt
Filed under: Ophichthus brevicaudatus
Lineage: Eukaryota; Metazoa; Chordata; Actinopteri; Anguilliformes; Ophichthidae
Description: 16S ribosomal RNA
Rfam family: Bacterial large subunit ribosomal RNA
Source: RNAcentral